CUAACGGCUGAACUGGCAACUUGGAGAAGUGGCAAGUUUUAUAAUUAAUAGUAAUUAAUAUUUCUAUUUUUAUAAAAUUCUAUUAGAAUUGAAUGAAGCUUUGUUUAUAUAUUGAUAAUGACAGUAUAUAUAUCGUGUCUUGACUAAUUGCGUGCCAGCAGUCGCGGUAAUACGUAAGAGACUAGUGUUAUUCAUCUUAAUUAGGUUUAAAGGGUACCCAGACGGUCAAUAUAUCUUCUAUAAUGUUAGUACUUGACUAGAGUUUUAUGUAAGAGGGCAGUACUUGAGGAGGAGAGAUGAAAUUUCGUGAUACCAAAGGGACUCUGUAAAGGCGAAGGCAGCCCUCUAUGUAGAAACUGACGUUGAAGGACGAAGGCACAGAGAACAAACAGGAUUAGAUACCCAAGUAGUCUUUGCAGUAAAUGAUGAAUGCCAUAGGUCAGAUCUAAAUUUAAUGUUUAUAGAUUAUGUGAAGGCCUUAAUUGGCAACUUUGCAAAAAUUAUAAAUAUUAAAAAUUAUUUGGUCUAUAAAUGAAAGUGUAAGCAUUUCACCUCAAGAGUAAUGUGGCAACGCAGGAACUGAAAUCACUAGACCGUUUCUGACACCAGUAGUGAAGU
RNAcentral lists this ribosomal RNA (618 nucleotides) under Ilyonectria destructans. Its description in RNAcentral is "SSU rRNA". It matches the Rfam family "Bacterial small subunit ribosomal RNA", at positions 376 to 938 of the family's 1533-position model. Lineage: Eukaryota; Fungi; Ascomycota; Sordariomycetes; Hypocreales; Nectriaceae. The record is from RNAcentral.